AGACGUUUCAAUGCUCUCAAUAUAAGGAGGUUGAAGGAGAUUCAAUGCUAUUGAGUGGUAGGACAUAUUCAGGGUUUGCCAUGCAGGGUACAACGCACUGAGAACAAUUGCCCAACCUUGACGGGGAAGAGAGUCACUGUUCUAGGAAAGAAGAAAGCUCCCCGUUAACCAUGUGGGGUUCAAAUUUUUAUAUAUAUAUAUAUAUAGUUGGUAAAAUUCCGAUUUUGAUUCGAUUGAAAUCACUCUGUAGAAUUGAGGUCAUCUUCUUUGGAAGUGCUUCUGGUAUCUAUCCCGUUCUUACUCAUAUUUUACAUAUUCUAAACAGCAUGCUACAUGCCCUUUCGUGUUCUUGUCUAGCAAAUUAUUCUUGUUGAUUAAUACUAGGAGCAUCCAGUGUAGAUAAUUCGGUUCCUCAAUGAUAUUGUGAUUGUGAGUUAGUACUGACUUAGCUUUUUGAAAAUUCGAAUGGUUUUGUUGUCUUUGCUACAAACCCAUAUUACAAGGAACAACUUGAAAUUUUUUUAAACCGAUUUUUUUUUUCUAGGUCUUAUAUAUUGACAUUGGUUUGAGUUCCCACAAUUUUCCAUGUCUAAUCCAAUCCUAUGCCCGCUCAUUGACUAGUCUAUUGCCAUAUAUUUUCAUCCUCGACUUAUUCUACUUAUAGUUUUGCAUCAAUGCGUAUUCCAUUCACUGAAACAUUUGUGAGAUCUUCCCAUUUGUGGCUAGUUUGUUGUCUCGCAAUGUUCUCACUAAAUCACUUGUUCAGACAUUUGCACUCUGUUUCUGGAUUCAUAAUUGCAAAUCAAGUUUAGAUCCUAGUUUUCAGUCUACCUCUUGUGUACUUUUUUCAAAGCUUAGGAGGAUUGAAGCCAUGGAUUUUGUAAACUGCAGAGAGCAAUAAUACCCAGACCAAGAGAAGCCUUGCCAGCCUGCAUUUUGUAUGGAGCCACAUUUUCAUUUUCCUGGCCAAGUAUGAUUGCAAGAAAAGGACUAAAAUUGAUGUCAGUGAUCUUUUGUGAGGAUCUGAGUUGGGGAGGGAAGCUGGUUAAUAAUGAUGAUUAAUUGUCAAUUAGAAGGAAUACUAUUUCCUUGUAGUUUGUUUGCUGGUUGUCCACUAAGCAAGUUUAUCUCUUCACUAGAACACAAUUGAUUGAUUUAACUGCAGUUUCUUGCUAUAUCCUGUUUCUAUUAAGACCUCACUGCUGAACGCAAAGAUCAAACACUAGAAUUUAAAUAUAGCACAAAUGGGCCUUCAUCAUUUCUCUGUUUAAAGGGGUUGAGCCAGUAUUUUUUAUUAGAUUAAGAGCGGAAGAAUGAAAUACUAGAGAAUGCUAUUCUGGCCAAAGGCAUUUGUACAUAGCUUGGAAUCCACAGAAAAAGCUUGAACAAAAUUAAGCUUUGUCAGUAAUUUCAGAUAAGUACUGCUAUUAGCUUCAUUUUCUAUUUAGUAGUAUUUCAACAAGAAAUUAUUGAUGAAGAUUUUUUUUUCUCUUUUCAUACUUGUUAUUGCAAAAUUUUCAAGAAGGAGCACGUUUGAUAUAUACACUAACUUGUUUAGAGAUUUCAACAGUGGUGUGAGUACAUGACCCUUGCUUCGGUUAAUUUCAAGGCGAAACAUUCAAGAAACAUUCCCUACAUCUCUAUGAUGAACUAGCAAAUAUUGAUGCCUGCUUGUUAUUGAAAAACAGCAUUUUCUUUUUCAAAUAGAAAAAGGCUGAUAUUGCUUAGUGCUGGCUUUAGAAUUAAGCAUGCAUAAUCAUGAACCUGCGCUUAGAUGGGAUACGGUCGCUUUCUCACCCCUGCGCAAAGAAACAAUAAAAGCAUCUACCAUAGGCCAUGAUGCUAAUUUCCCCAUUUGUGAUAAUUACAGUGGGACUUCACGAAGAUUUUUUUUUUUGGGUCACCCAAUUGAAGUAGAGGUAUGGCCCUAAUUCUUUUUUUCUUUUCAAAUAAUCAGCACAAGAUACAGUUUCUAAUGAGUUGUACCUUCACUUGGUGGGGACUUGAUCAUACAUCCCUAACCGUAUUAUGCUAAAACUUUCAAUAUUAUCAUAUCUUCACCAUAAAACCAUAGAUUAGCCAAAAUCCUUACUGAAAAUGCUUAUUUAUUAACAGAGAAGUAGCAGCAGCAUAACAUGAUGAAAAUGAGAAUUAAACGUAAAAACGUAUAGCAGAGAAAAAAAAAUAGCAGUUGCAUGGAGAUAAGGACUAACUCUGCCAUCAGUGGCCAAUACCAGGGCUUGGAACAUCACCAUACCUUCUAUAGUAGUCAUAAUCUCCUUGUCCAGAUUCAUCUCCUGAAUCAUCUUCCAUGUCUAGAUGCUUUUCUGUUCCUCUUCUUUCAACAAGGCAAGCAGGAGCACAAUCCUUGCCAAUCCUGGUAGCCACUUUACAUUGAAACAUCAGAGACAUAAGAAGCACUAGUGUCAGGAGAAGAGCACUGGCCUUGGCCAUUUCUUGAACUGAUAUAAUUCUUGAUGCUAGCUAGAUACCUAGCUUUACCAAUGGAACUUAACCUUGAAGGAGGUAAAGCUUACACCAAUUUGAAUUAUUUAUAAGGCAUUACCAUGGGGCGGCAUGAUUUUUAGAAAGGUAAGUAGUAUUAUAUGAUUUCAUUCAUGUAGGGUCAUAUAAAUAAGCAGUGCAUAGUAUUUAUGAAUAAAAAAUUAUAUAUUUGUGUGACUUUGAUGACUUUGUCUUUGACCUUAGUGCAGUCCAUUGUAAUUAGGGAACAUCUUGAAGUUGAAGAUGUUACUGACAUCAUUAUAUUUGAUGUACUAACUUUAGCUCAACAACGUCUUUGAAGACAAGACAAUUUCAGUAGCUGGCAGAAAUCUCUGGCCAAGGUAUAGCCUGAUGUGUACAGACUACAGUUCUGGAGAAAUGUUGAGGGGAAGCCUUGGUGGAGCAGUAAAGGAGAUUGCAAAUUCAAAUCUUGUGAGACAGUUCCUUCUCCAGUCAAGGAGGGACAUUUUGAAGGUUGUAUGUAUCAAUAACAUUCAGCCAUGCAGGUGCAGCUAAGCAAAUCAAUGACGCAUUACAAGAUUUAAUUCUUUUUUCAUGGUGUGUAGCUCUCACACUCAACACUUGACACUUUAUUUUUCUUUUUCUUUUAUGAUCAGAAAUGUAUGUGAAAACUCUCAAAGUAUAUCAUAUGAUCAGAAAUGGAAAUAAAAUGCUAAGAAUCUUUUUUUAAAAAAA
Molecule: long non-coding RNA, 3201 nt
Organism: Manihot esculenta (cassava)
Lineage: Eukaryota; Viridiplantae; Streptophyta; Magnoliopsida; Malpighiales; Euphorbiaceae
Exons: 2
Source: RefSeq, a predicted model, not a curated record